UACGGGGGGGGCAAGCGUUGUUCGGAAUUACUGGGCGUAAAGGGCUCGUAGGCGGCCAACUAAGUCGGAUGUGAAAUCCCCAGGCUCAACCUGGGAACUGCAUCCGAUACUGGAUGGCUUGAAUUCGGGAGAGGGAUGCAGAAUUCCAGGUGUAGCGGUGAAAUGCGUAGAUAUCUGGAGGAACACCGGUGGCGAAGGCGGCAUCCUGGACCGGCAUUGACGCUGAGGAGCGAAAGCCAGGGGAGCAAACGGG
Molecule: ribosomal RNA, 253 nt
Filed under: uncultured bacterium
Lineage: Bacteria
Description: partial 16S ribosomal RNA
Rfam family: Bacterial small subunit ribosomal RNA
Source: RNAcentral